Molecule: long non-coding RNA, 1304 nt
Organism: Morus notabilis
Lineage: Eukaryota; Viridiplantae; Streptophyta; Magnoliopsida; Rosales; Moraceae
Exons: 2
Source: RefSeq, a predicted model, not a curated record
UUACCCUCACUCUCAAGUCUCAAGCAGCUCCAAAGCCUCCAACCCUUGUUCCUCUUCCUUAUUCUUCCUUCCUCUCAUUAUUCACAUUUCCUUUUCUUGUAUAGUAAUAUGUGUGGUCUUACUUUAUUGUAUUUUUUUAAUCUCAGUUGUAUACGACUUCAUUGUUGUGAGCAUGGGUGCACCAAAGUUUUGAAGUGAUGAAAAGCUCAGUUCGCGAUUUGAAGAGUCCAAAGGAAAGAGCUUUGAAUAUUUGUGUAGCCCACUCGUACUUGUUGCGCCCUCUAAUGUUUUAAUGUGUGUGUAAAUUCAGCCGCUCAACUUUGAAACUGCAAUUUUCGGGGCUGUAUUAUUAUUAUUAUUAUUAUUAUUAUUAUUAUUAUUAUUAUUAUUAUUAUUAUUAUUUUGUGUAUCCAUAUUUAUCUGAAGCUCUUGAUCAUCAAAUUGCGAAUUGGGUUUUUCGUCACUUUAAAGCUGUGGUGUGCCAAUGCUCACUACGACCAAGUCCAAGCUUUCGUAAAGAAUACGCUGAAAGUAAGAUCAUGCAAUUUACUCACCAACUCAGACAAUCGCAUCACCAAAAUCAUUUGGUGGUAUCAUCAAUUUCUCAUUGCAUGGAGUGACAUUGCUUUUCUUUUUUCUAUUAUUAAUUCUCUUUUAAGUGCUCGUAUUGAAUAGAUGUCAUGAUUGAAACUUUAAACAAAAGCUAGGUCUGUUGUGAAGCUCAACUCAAUUGGUCCCAAGCUGCAGAAAUGUGUUAUCAGCUGAACAACUGUCUUGAAGUUAAAAUAAUUCUCUCGACAAAGGAUUCCCCCCUUUAAGGGUAAACCCAAGUAUUUCAUCGGCCAAGAUCCCACUUCACAACCCAAUUCCCCAGCCAACAAAUUAAUAGUUUUGAGAGAAAUUUUAAGAGAGUGAAUGUAUUUUGAAAGUUAUUACCCCUCGAGGGUUCAAGAAACAGUAGGAUGGAUGUCGUUUACAGUAUCGUGUUGCGACUGUAUUGCAGGGAAACAGCUGAUGUUGCGAAUUGUGCAGAGUUUGUGCCGAGACGAGACAUCCUGGCAGGACCAAGAAGCAAGAGCCUGCAUCCGUGUCGAAUGCGCUGGAACUUCUAAAUCCGGCAAGGGUGGGAAAAAGAAGAGAUAGUUCUAAUUUUACUUUUUACUUUUUUUUUUUCUUUUGGCUGGAAGAAAAAGGGUUGUAGAGAUAGUGUAACCGUACUCAUGUGUACUCGGUUGGUGUAUUUUACUCGAUAAAAUGAAAGACACUAAAAACCUAUUGGAGUGUUUAUUAGUUAUUAUUUUUAA